Molecule: ribosomal RNA, 93 nt
Filed under: Staphylococcus felis
Lineage: Bacteria; Bacillati; Bacillota; Bacilli; Caryophanales; Staphylococcaceae
Source: RNAcentral
UCACACCUGUUCCCAUGCCGAACACAGAAGUUAAGCUCUUUAGCGCCGAUGGUAGUCGGACUUACGUUCCGCAAGAGUAGGACGGUGCCAGGU